Molecule: long non-coding RNA, 1738 nt
Filed under: Triticum aestivum (bread wheat)
Lineage: Eukaryota; Viridiplantae; Streptophyta; Magnoliopsida; Poales; Poaceae
Description: long non-coding RNA (TAES_LNC027860)
Source: RNAcentral
UAAUUCUUUUGAAUUUCGCUGUAAGGUCGGAUAUUCCAUUUCAAACUUAAGGCGCAUUCCUUUUACUUCCAGUAAUAUAAACUAUGUAGUUUAAUUUGUCUAACCUUGUGUGCAUAGGGUUUCUUUCACACGAGAGGUAAAGAUGUUCCUUGUAUAAUAUUUAGGUUCUGUAGUAAAAAUAUUGUUUUAAUUGGCAGUUGUUUACCUGUCAGUCACACAAGCCUUUAUAUAUAUUAGACCUUAGAUGCUACUAAGUACUAACUGUUAUCCCUUUGUAACAUAAGAGCAGAAUUUUCACUCCCUAGUUGUUCAUCAUAUUUCUCUGUGUCACGUUCUAGUUCCAACAAUGCAUGUUGAUGGUCCACCUUGUUGAUUGCAUGCUGAUAUUGUGAGAUAUUUGAUUAUGCUUGAUAAUAUUAGUAGCGAAGAGUGCCUCACAAAAUUCUUAGUUGGAGACUGAAAUUUGCGUUAGUGGUAUGUACUGAAUUUUACGGCAGUCAUAAGAUGAAAUUGUUCCUGUGAAACUGUGGACUGAAAGUGAGGAUUAUUCUGUAUCUUUACAUUACACGGGAUCAAGCUGAUCCUGGUGCUCAACAGUAUGAUAGUUUAGCCCCUGCAUAAAUCAUGGGAAAUCCCACGUGCAUGAAAAAUGAAGGACUCAAAGGUUAACAUAAUCCAAUUUAUAAAUCAUCACACGUGCAUCUUGAUUAUGUAUGAGAUUAUUCUGGAUACCGCCUCCAUUAAUUAUGUAUUAGAGAGGGAAUUUAUCUCUUGCGAUAAACUGAGGAGGGGAACAGUUAUGUUUGUCCCUGCAAUUGUGAGAUGUGUAUUUCUACAUCUGGAGUACAGCGUAACUAUUUCAGGGCUUGACAGACCAGUUUUUAUCCAGAAGAAAGGCCUUUAGCGUGCAUUUGGAUCUGAAGAAACAAAGCAAGAUAUGGCUGUCAUUCCUCCUAAGUUGGCUAGUUACUAGUAUCUCCUUGAUCUUUUGAUAAGGUAGUCUUGGCGAGUGUUUGGGCAAUAGAGAACAUAACUUGGAGCUUCCGUACGUUUGAUGAGUUCAAUGCAAUGAAACAAAUGAGCUGAACAUAUUCAAUGUUUCUAGUGGGAAUUAGUUCGUGGCCAUUCUGGUGAUAAUGGUUGUACUCCAGGUAAAAAAAUAUUAUAAUUCUUCUAUUCCACAUAUGUAGUUGUUUCGGUUAUUGUUAUAUGUUGUUUCCUUCGUAUAUAUGCAAGAUCUUAUCAUCGAGUUUCAUUGGCAAGUUAACUUUAAGAAUCAUAUUAAGCUGGCAGCUAUGGUUGGUACUGAUGGGAGUUGCUCAUUUUAGGUGCUGAUGGUCCAAGAAUUGUAAAGAUAAGGCGGGGGAACCUUAUUUGUGUGGUGGAUGCAAGUAUGUUAUGAGGUCAAUUUGUAACUUAUUAUACUGCAGUAACGGACCAAGCCAUGAAUUAGUACCAAACUUCAGGAUUGGUGAGAAGAAGCAUGAACUUAUAAUGUUGUUAGUACCCUAAUCUUGACUUGUCGCUGAUGGACCACAAUGUUCAAGCUCAGCAAAUACUCUUGAACAGCAAAAAUUAUUGGGUCUCAAAACACCUGCAAAUUAAGCCGCUUGAUGAAAGUUCAGAUAUGUGUGAAGUCUUGGCAUUCCCAUGUAAUCAGUGGUGUUCAUUUUUGAAAUACUGCUUUGUACUCCCUCCAUAACAAAAUGUAAGAUGUUUUUGUGCCCUGUGCAAACCA